This 244-nucleotide unclassified non-coding RNA is filed under the name plant metagenome. Its description in RNAcentral is "partial contains small subunit ribosomal RNA, internal transcribed spacer 1, and 5.8S ribosomal RNA". The record is from RNAcentral.
UCUCCGUUGGUGAACCAGCGGAGGGAUCAUUACCGAGUUUACAACUCCCAAACCCAAUGUGAACCAUACCAAACUGUUGCCUCGGCGGGGUCACGCCCCAGGUGCGUCGCAGCCCCGGAACCAGGCGCCCGCCGGAGGGACCAACCAAACUCUUUCUGUAGUCCCCUCGCGGACGUUAUUUUUACAGCUCUGAGCAAAAAUUCAAAAUGAAUCAAAACUUUCAACAACGGAUCUCUUGGUUCUG